GACGAACGCUGGCGGCGUGCUUAACACAUGCAAGUCGAACGGAAAGGCCCUGCUUUUGUGGGGUGCUCGAGUGGCGAACGGGUGAGUAACACGUGAGUAACCUGCCCUUGACUUUGGGAUAACUUCAGGAAACUGGGGCUAAUACCGGAUAGGAGCUCCUGCUGCAUGGUGGUGGUUGGAAAGUUUCGGCGGUUGGGGAUGGACUCGCGGCUUAUCAGCUUGUUGGUGGGGUAGUGGCUUACCAAGGCUUUGAAGGGUAGCCGGCCUGAGAGGGUGACCGGCCACAUUGGGACUGAGAUACGGCCCAGACUCCUACGGGAGGCAGCAGUGGAGAAUAUUGCACAAUGGGCGGAAGCCUGAUGCAGCAACGCCGCGUGCGGGAUGACGGCCUUCGGGUUGUAAACCGCUUUCGCCUGUGACGAAGCGUGAGUGACGGUAAUGGGUAAAGAAGCACCGGCUAACUACGUG
RNAcentral lists this ribosomal RNA (468 nucleotides) under uncultured bacterium. Its description in RNAcentral is "partial 16S ribosomal RNA". It matches the Rfam family "Bacterial small subunit ribosomal RNA", at positions 28 to 507 of the family's 1533-position model. The record is from RNAcentral.